Long non-coding RNA from Larimichthys crocea (large yellow croaker), 1599 nucleotides. RefSeq lists it as uncharacterized. The record is from RefSeq and is a predicted model, not a curated record. Lineage: Eukaryota; Metazoa; Chordata; Actinopteri; Sciaenidae. The transcript has 3 exons.
AUGCCGGUGGAUGACGAGAAGUGGAGUUUAAACCGAGGAAAAGUCAGUUUAGUUUUUUUUUUUUUAUUCCAUUUUAUAUUUGACGUCGCUGUAAUCCAGUGGAUGCAUUAAACUGAGGAGAGUUAUAUGAAGGCUGGGGUGGUGAGGAGGGGGAAAUAUGUGCGCAAAUAAAGAGAUUUCUGUAAAUGUAACGUAUGUGCAGUGUGUUAGCGGUGCCACACUUUAAAAAAAUAUUUUCCAGUUCACCAUCUGCGUAUAAAUGUCCAAAAAAAUGAUUUUUAAUAUCAAAACAUUUCAAAAGUUUCCAGAAAAUCGACGAUUAUUAAAGCACCUGAACAUGUCAGACUUUUUUUGUUUUAGAGUUGAUAAGUCUGCAUGUUGUAUAAAAGAGUUAAAACCAGGAAAAGCAAAAUAAACCAGUGACAUAAAGACAAGAGAAAAAAAAAGCAGCUCUCCGUGUGAAGGCUGCACACCGUCCUCUCACAUUCCAGCGCGUCGCAAAAAAAAGGGGGGAUUUAGAGCGACUUAUUUUCUUUAAAACUGUCCUCCCGUCCACAGAGCCAGCCAGUCUGCUCCCAUCAGCCUCAUACAGGGCCUGCACCAAAAAAAAAAUACAUCCAGAAUAUUUUACAUGAGAGUUUCCCACCGAGUGACACCGAGCAGCCGAAGGACUUCUUCCAGGACUUGGUGAGCACACAUCCAGACUGAGAUGAGGAGAAAUGACAGAGGCCGGCUGUGCAGCUGUGGACACUUUCACUGAUCUCACUUGUGCAAGAGGAAGAAAGUGAAAUAUGAAGAUUUCGAUCAGAAGGAGCGCUUUGAACGGAUCAUAACCCUGGAUUUCUUUUAACAACCAAACAACUUGAGAUCUGGUCUCAGCAGAGGAAAAGUUUUGCUGUGAGUCUUGCCUGUUUGGAGGAGAGGAGCUGCAGCACCUUCAGGAGUUCGCCAACAAACAAACGGAUGCAAUUAAACACACUCGCCUUCAGAUCAUCAAUGAGGAUGCAAAGUCAAGACUGGUGGAAAAAAAACCCGGCAAGGACAAAUAUAAGACGGGAGAAGAGUCUGCUGCCUCAAGGUUAAACACAAGUGUGUAAAGAGCUUGUCUUCACACAGUCUGGAUAGUCUUCUUCAAAGAGGCAUCACUAGCUGUUUUCUUUUCUAAAUUAAAUGUCCUUGAAAAAUACUUUUUUGUUACUAUUUACAUCCCUCAUUUCACAACUUGUUAUAACUCUUAAUUGAUGUCAUAUUUUUGUGUCAUUGCUGAAGAAUUUAAGAAAGUUUAUAUGUACACUGCCUCCUCGCUGUGAAAACACAAAGAAAUAAUUUGCAAAUAAAGACUAAAAUCGUCAGACCACCACCCUGCUCUCUGUCUCUCCCUCUCUCUCUCUGCACCUUCUCCUCUGUGCUGAGGUGUCUGCAUGGCGUGGUAAAACCUGCCCUGCAGACCGGACCUCUCAAGUCUUCAAAGGAGGAAGAACUCAAUGUGGGGGGAUUUGUUCAGGCUUAUUUGGUAACCUAGGAUUUGAAUUGGAUUCUGGGAGGCAUUCAUAACACAUUUGAAAAUGUUACAUUGUGUGAUUUUGUGUGUAAUCCCCA